GCCAGACAGCGCCAACCACCUGAGACCCAGCCUCCCAGCAAGGUUGUGGCCCGCAGCGGACGCUCCCCACGAGGUAGAGCCCCGUUUCCACACCUGGAGCAGCUGCACCUGGAGGUGGGGCUCAUCUCCAGACCUGGAGCAGCUGCCUGCCCCAGGGCAGAAGCCACUGCCCGCAGCUAGGGAGCAUUGAGGAGGUCUCCCCAGGUCCGCGCGGGUUUUCUCCAGGUCCUCCAGUUUCCUCCCACAUCCCAAGUAUACACCUCAGCCUCACGGCAUGUCUACAUGGGCCUAGUCCGAGUGAGUGUGGGUGUCCCAUGGAGGCCUGUCCUAUCCAGGGCGGGUGCCCACCUUGGCACUGAGCCUCCAGGAUGGGCCCUGGUCACCUGCCACUCUGAACUGGAGAAAGCAAGUUGGAAAAUGAAUGAAUACAUGAAUAUAAAUUAUCAAAUAAAAAUUAUAAAGCCU
This 465-nucleotide long non-coding RNA is filed under the name Homo sapiens (human). RNAcentral's name for it is "non-protein coding FRGCA:1". The record is from RNAcentral. Lineage: Eukaryota; Metazoa; Chordata; Mammalia; Primates; Hominidae.